Non-coding RNA from Podarcis lilfordi (Lilford's wall lizard), 71 nucleotides. The record is from the annotation of a GenBank genome assembly. NCBI's taxonomy places the organism in Eukaryota, Metazoa, Chordata, Lepidosauria, Squamata, Lacertidae.
GGGAUAGCUCAAGUCGGUAGAGCAUGAGACUCUUAAUUUCAGGGUUGUGGUUUUGAGCCCCACUUUGGGCA